RNAcentral lists this ribosomal RNA (1359 nucleotides) under uncultured bacterium. Its description in RNAcentral is "bacterial SSU rRNA". It matches the Rfam family "Bacterial small subunit ribosomal RNA", at positions 28 to 1381 of the family's 1533-position model. The record is from RNAcentral.
AUUGAACGCUGGCGGCAGGCUUAACACAUGCAAGUCGAGCGGGGAAAGGUAGCUUGCUACCUGACCUAGCGGCGGACGGGUGAGUAAUGCUUAGGAAUCUGCCUAUUAGUGGGGGACAACAUUCCGAAAGGAAUGCUAAUACCGCAUACGCCCUACGGGGGAAAGCAGGGGAUCUUCGGACCUUGCGCUAAUAGAUGAGCCUAAGUCAGAUUAGCUAGUUGGUGGGGUAAAGGCCUACCAAGGCGACGAUCUGUAGCGGGUCUGAGAGGAUGAUCCGCCACACUGGGACUGAGACACGGCCCAGACUCCUACGGGAGGCAGCAGUGGGGAAUAUUGGACAAUGGGCGAAAGCCUGAUCCAGCCAUGCCGCGUGUGUGAAGAAGGCCUUUUGGUUGUAAAGCACUUUAAGCGAGGAGGAGGCUACUUAGAUUAAUACUCUAGGAUAGUGGACGUUACUCGCAGAAUAAGCACCGGCUAACUCUGUGCCAGCAGCCGCGGUAAUACAGAGGGUGCGAGCGUUAAUCGGAUUUACUGGGCGUAAAGCGUGCGUAGGCGGCUUUUUAAGUCGGAUGUGAAAUCCCUGAGCUUAACUUAGGAAUUGCAUUCGAUACUGGGAAGCUAGAGUAUGGGAGAGGAUGGUAGAAUUCCAGGUGUAGCGGUGAAAUGCGUAGAGAUCUGGAGGAAUACCGAUGGCGAAGGCAGCCAUCUGGCCUAAUACUGACGCUGAGGUACGAAAGCAUGGGGAGCAAACAGGAUUAGAUACCCUGGUAGUCCAUGCCGUAAACGAUGUCUACUAGCCGUUGGGGCCUUUGAGGCUUUAGUGGCGCAGCUAACGCGAUAAGUAGACCGCCUGGGGAGUACGGUCGCAAGACUAAAACUCAAAUGAAUUGACGGGGGCCCGCACAAGCGGUGGAGCAUGUGGUUUAAUUCGAUGCAACGCGAAGAACCUUACCUGGUCUUGACAUAGUAAGAACUUUCCAGAGAUGGAUUGGUGCCUUCGGGAACUUACAUACAGGUGCUGCAUGGCUGUCGUCGGCUCGUGUCGUGAGAUGUUGGGUUAAGUCCCGCAACGAGCGCAACCCUUUUCCUUAUUUGCCAGCGGGUUAAGCCGGGAACUUUAAGGAUACUGCCAGUGACAAACUGGAGGAAGGCGGGGACGACGUCAAGUCAUCAUGGCCCUUACGACCAGGGCUACACACGUGCUACAAUGGUCGGUACAAAGGGUUGCUACCUAGCGAUAGGAUGCUAAUCUCAAAAAGCCGAUCGUAGUCCGGAUUGGAGUCUGCAACUCGACUCCAUGAAGUCGGAAUCGCUAGUAAUCGCGGAUCAGAAUGCCGCGGUGAAUACGUUCCCCGGCCU